Long non-coding RNA from Homo sapiens (human), 802 nucleotides. Ensembl annotates it as LRRC8C divergent transcript. Its record names the gene LRRC8C-DT. The record is from Ensembl. NCBI's taxonomy places the organism in Eukaryota, Metazoa, Chordata, Mammalia, Primates, Hominidae.
ACCUCGCUCCCGGGACUCGCCAGCGAGGGAUGCCGCCGGCCGCCGGGGGCCUUCUCCAGGACCAGGAGAGAAAUCCUCUCUCCGCUUCACGACGCGGCCACUCCCACCCCUGAGACGCCCACCUGGCGGACUCUGAGGGAGGAUUCGGCUGCGUCUAAUACCACCUCCACCCCUCAUCCCUCACAAUGCGCGGAAAACCACAGGCGGCUGUGCGCGCAGCGUCGGCUCAGCCACCGCAGCUCCUCCCCUGGGAUGAAAAAGCACUCUGACGUCUUGAAAGCUGGCAGCUCUCUGUUUGGAAAAUCUCUGCCCAGUGAAAAAAUGUACCGACAAGAUUACUAAGUAACACAGUCUUCUGGGAAUGCCUUAUCAAUGCCAGCUAUUUGAAGAGCACCCAAAGUCAAACUAGUGCUCCGCGCUGGCAGUCUGGAAAAGGCAGAUGUAUAUUUCAGUCAGUAAUGGAUAUUACCACCAGCAUUUAAUCAAGGAAGCAGGAAGUGAUCCAUCACUGCUAGCUGCUAUCUACAGGAAUUCUGUCUACAGGCAGGGCAGACCAGUCAGCCAGUAUCUUCCCGAAGUACCUUGGUCUUCCACCAUCCAUCCCACUGAGAGAGCCGUUCCUCUAAUGAGGCAUUUCUAAGCAGCUGUCCAUUGAACUCUACCCCUUGAGAUAUCCUGAGAAAUAGGAAUCUAUGGUUCCUAUUGUUUGGAAAGUAGUAUAUCUUCCUUGAAGAUUCACAAUGCGUAUUAAUAUGCUUAGGGCUCUGAUAAGUCCUGUAUUAAAAAUGCUUGUUAAACUUUG